GUUUUCAUGGCCGCACCAGACAGCUCCCCUGCCCAGAGAACUGUCCACAAUGACUCCACACAUCACUGAAGACUCUUGCACCAGAGUUUAGCUGAAAAAUCUGAAGGGCUUGGAAGCUAGCAGGCCCUUCAAAUGAAGGAAUAGCAGGCAUAUUGAGGUAUAUUCCCCUGGCUCCAGCACUUGUCCAGCUUGCACAAAUCCACAUGUGAAAAUGGACAAAAAAGAAACAUGAUUAAUGAGCAAAUGGAGUGGAGGAACAUGCUUCUGGAGAUGUGGGCAGAAGGGAAGGAGAGGAUGGAAGAGCAGCAGGGCAGAAUAGCAGAGCGGCCGGACAGGAAAGCAAGUGAAGCAAGUCCCUGAUGGCUGUGAUGGAACGCUUGUCAGAGAGCCUGGAGAAGAACCCUCCCCCAUCCUGUGCACAACAACUUUCCCUCCUUACCCAGUCCCAUAGCCUGCACCGCAGAGCUCCCAGGACAUGGGAUGGGGGGAGGGAACUCAAGGGCAGCCUCACACUCAAUCUCCAGGACAUCAGGAGGCAAAUGUUGUCCUCCUCGUGUUUCUGAUCCCUGCUUCAGGUCUCACCAUGGACUUCUUUUCUGCCCCUGC
Pelodiscus sinensis (Chinese soft-shelled turtle) is the source of this 606-nucleotide non-coding RNA. NCBI's taxonomy places the organism in Eukaryota, Metazoa, Chordata, Testudines, Trionychidae. The record is from RefSeq and is a predicted model, not a curated record.